UGGGGAAUUUUGGACAAUGGGCGAAAGCCUGAUCCAGCAAUGCCGCGUGUGUGAAGAAGGCCUUCGGGUUGUAAAGCACUUUUGUCCGGAAAGAAAUGGCUCUGGUUAAUACCUGGGGUCGAUGACGGUACCGGAAGAAUAAGGACCGGCUAACUACGGUGCCAGCAGCCGCGGUAAUACGUAGGGUCCAAGCGUUAAUCGGAAUUACUGGGCGUAAAGCGUGCGCAGGCGGUUGUGCAAGACCGAUGUGAAAUCCCCGAGCUUAACUUGGGAAUUGCAUUGGUGACUGCACGGCUAGAGUGUGUCAGAGGGGGGUAGAAUUCCACGUGUAGCAGUGAAAUGCGUAGAGAUGUGGAGGAAUACCGAUGGGCGAAGGCAGCCCCCUGGGAUAACACUGACGCUCAUGCACGAAAGCGUGGGGAGCAAACAGGAUUAGAUACCCUGGUAGUCCACGCCCUAAA
This 461-nucleotide ribosomal RNA is filed under the name uncultured bacterium. Its description in RNAcentral is "partial 16S ribosomal RNA". It matches the Rfam family "Bacterial small subunit ribosomal RNA", at positions 355 to 806 of the family's 1533-position model. The record is from RNAcentral.